CCUACGGGAGGCUGCAGUAGGGAAUCUUCCGCAAUGGACGAAAGUCUGACGGAGCAACGCCGCGUGAGCGAAGAAGGUCUUCGGAUCGUAAAGCUCUGUUGUUAGGGAAGAACAAGUACGGGAGGAAAUGACCGUACCUUGACGGUACCUAACGAGGAAGCCACGGCUAACUACGUGCCAGCAGCCGCGGUAAUACGUAGGUGGCAAGCGUUGUCCGGAAUUAUUGGGCGUAAAGCGCGCGCAGGCGGUCUUUUAAGUCUGAUGUGAAAUCUUGCGGCUCAACCGCAAGCGGUCAUUGGAAACUGGGCGAGUUGAGUCAACAAUCGAAAAGCCGAAACCCACGUCUGGCGGUGAAAUUCGUAGAGACGCGGAGGAACACCAGUACCGAAGGCAGCUUACAGCACGAUAACUCACCCCGAGGCGCGAAAGCGCGGGGAGCAAACAGGAUUAGAUACACUUCUCGUU
RNAcentral lists this ribosomal RNA (465 nucleotides) under uncultured bacterium. RNAcentral's name for it is "bacterial SSU rRNA". It matches the Rfam family "Bacterial small subunit ribosomal RNA", at positions 338 to 795 of the family's 1533-position model. The record is from RNAcentral.